RNAcentral lists this ribosomal RNA (541 nucleotides) under uncultured bacterium. RNAcentral's name for it is "partial 16S ribosomal RNA". It matches the Rfam family "Bacterial small subunit ribosomal RNA", at positions 355 to 887 of the family's 1533-position model. The record is from RNAcentral.
UGGGGAAUAUUGCACAAUGGGCGCAAGCCUGAUGCAGCCAUGCCGCGUGUGUGAAGAAGGCCUCGGUUGUAAAGCACUUCAGCGAGGAGGAAGGUGGUGGACUUAAUACGUUCAUCAAUUGACGUUACUCGCAGAAGAAGCACCGGCUAACUCCGUGCCAGCAGCCGCGGUAAUACGGAGGGUGCAAGCGUUAAUCGGAAUUACUGGGCGUAAAGCGCACGCAGGCGGUUUGUUAAGUCAGAUGUGAAAUCCCCGGGCUCAACCUGGGAACUGCAUUUGAAACUGGCAAGCUAGAGUCUCGUAGAGGGGGGUAGAAUUCCAGGUGUAGCGGUGAAAUGCGUAGAGAUCUGGAGGAAUACCGGUGGCGAAGGCGGCCCCCUGGACGAAGACUGACGCUCAGGUGCGAAAAGCGUGGGGAGCAAAACAGGAUUAGAUACCCUGGUAGUCCACGCUGUAAAACGAUGUCGAUUUUGGAGGUUGUGCCCUUGAGGCGUGGCUUCCGGAGCUAACGCGUUAAAUCGACCGCCUGGGGAGUACGGCC